Long non-coding RNA from Photinus pyralis (common eastern firefly), 284 nucleotides. RefSeq lists it as uncharacterized. The record is from RefSeq and is a predicted model, not a curated record. The transcript has 2 exons. Lineage: Eukaryota; Metazoa; Arthropoda; Insecta; Coleoptera; Lampyridae.
CAGAAAGCUGCAGAAUUAUCCAAUAUGAAGUUCUACGCAUUCGCUCUUGUUCUUGCCCUCUUCUUUAUCUGCGAGGUAUCUACCCAAGAAGCCGAAAGUCGCGGCAAAUGCACCAGCGGAAGCGGUAGCAACGGAAAUAGCAACGGCAGCAACGGAAAUAGCAAUGGAAAUAGCAAUGGAAACAACGCGCAAGGUGGAAAUGGGGGCACAGGCACAAAUCCGAACUCAGUUUAAUGUUCUUCUGGUUUAAUUUUUGAAGUGAAAUAAAAUUGAUCUGCUCUUUA